ACGGAGGGUGCAAGCGUUAAUCGGAAUUACUGGGCGUAAAGCGCACGCAGGCGGUUUGUUAAGUCAGAUGUGAAAUCCCCGGGCUCAACCUGGGAACUGCAUCUGAUACUGGCAAGCUUGAGUCUCGUAGAGGGGGGUAGAAUUCCAGGUGUAGCGGUGAAAUGCGUAGAGAUCUGGAGGAAUACCGGUGGCGAAGGCGGCCCCCUGGGCCGUACCUGACGCUAAGACGCGACAGCACGGGGAGCGAACGG
RNAcentral lists this ribosomal RNA (251 nucleotides) under uncultured prokaryote. Its description in RNAcentral is "partial 16S ribosomal RNA". It matches the Rfam family "Bacterial small subunit ribosomal RNA", at positions 525 to 775 of the family's 1533-position model. The record is from RNAcentral.